This 252-nucleotide ribosomal RNA is filed under the name uncultured bacterium. RNAcentral describes it as "partial 16S ribosomal RNA". It matches the Rfam family "Bacterial small subunit ribosomal RNA", at positions 524 to 776 of the family's 1533-position model. The record is from RNAcentral.
UACGUAGGUGGCAAGCGUUGUCCGGAAUUAUUGGGCGUAAAGCGCGCGCAGGCGGUCCUUUAAGUCUGAUGUGAAAGCCCACGGCUCAACCGUGGAGGGUCAUUGGAAACUGGGGGACUUGAGUGCAGGAGAGAAGAGUGGAAUUCCACGUGUAGCGGUGAAAUGCGUAGAGAUGUGGAGGAACACCAGUGGCGAAGGCGACUCUUGGCCUGUAGCUGACGCUGAGGCGCGAAAGCGUGGGGAGCAAACAGG